CAGCGCCGGCCUCUCCUCACAGAGCCCCUGCAGCCACCUGCUGGGCAUGGGUGCCGAAUUUAACCUGUAUUGUUCGGGAAUCUGGUGAAAAGGUCAAAUAUCCUUACUUCCAACCCCAAAUGAGUAAAGCGUGGAUGAAUAGGGUGGGAGAUGAGCAUUUCAGAACCUGAAAGGGGAGUCAAGAGCUAUGGCAGCCCCCCUGGACAGAGGCAAUGUCCUGGUUUUGGUGUGCUGUUUGCAGCGAAGGAGGCUCUCCAGGAAGUAGAAAUACUUCACGCAUCUCUAGGACAAGUAAGUGUAUCUUUACUGUGCCAGAAAAAUCCAGUUCUCAACUUCUGCCUGUCAUAAGUCAGCUAUGCAGAUGAGUGAAGAUGAAAGAAACUUCCGAGAGGAGAGCGUUAUGGCUGGGCUCCACCUGCUGCCGACUGGGACUCUCUGCACUGGGCUGCUGCUACCAGCCACAGCCAUGGACAGAGAUUGGACAGAAACACCAGUGAUUUGUGGUCACAGCCUUCUUUUUAUCUACUCUCUUGUGCAAAAAUUAAAAUAAUGCCAGAAAAGAAAAUUGUGUCCUUCCCAUCCCAAAGCUUUAAAUUUCACUCGUGUUGUUGAUGUAAAUGCACAUCAGUUUCUAAUGUUCAGUUGUGACCUGUAGGUGUUGCAAUUUGUACAUAGUGCAGUACCUGCUCCUGGAAACUGCCUGAGCUUUGGUCAUUGUCAGUCAUCUGAAUUAAAUCUUUGAGGUUUCUCCCUCUGAGCAUUGAAAGAUUAGUAAAGCUGAGUUCUGUGUAUUUUGCAGUAGCAGCCAGUGCCUUUCAUUAUUGCUCUUAAGUAACUUCGUCUAAAUAGUGCUGUAGUUAAGUAUGUUUCCUUCAGUAAGUGCUCGUAGUAUACGUGGUGCUACACAAGAAACAGAGAAAGAGGAAAACAAGGAAAAAUUCAUAAUUCUUGUGCUAGUGUGCUUUUGUCAAAAA
Cygnus olor (mute swan) is the source of this 974-nucleotide long non-coding RNA. RefSeq lists it as uncharacterized. The transcript has 3 exons. NCBI's taxonomy places the organism in Eukaryota, Metazoa, Chordata, Aves, Anseriformes, Anatidae. The record is from RefSeq and is a predicted model, not a curated record.